GCUACGUCGCAGGCCUGGCUAGGGGCGCGCGGGGUCUGGAACCAGUGGCGGGGCCUGCCCACGUCCUCCCCCCGGGAGCCGGGCGAAGGAGCUCGGGGCCUGGGAGCGGAGCUCGCCCUGGAGGCCGGGGGAAGGCGAAGCUAGGGUGCGGGGCCACAUGUGGGCCCUCGAACCGCCACCCUCAGUCUUCGCCACAUUGUCCAAGGGAACAGGUUUGCAGAUGCGGACCGAAUUGAUUUUCCGGGUGUCUCUCCAGCCUCCGGGGCGCCCGCCCCCCCCACAUAGAUAUUGGAAGGAGGAUUACGUGAACCCGUAGCCUGUUACGACACACCAAGCACCUUGCACAAAUAGGUAGUGCGCUCUGUUGACCCGUUACACUUGCCAGAAUCGCUGGAAGUGCCAUAUAUGGACAAGAUGUCUGGAUUGUUUCCUCAACACAUGAGACAGGAGGUCACUUCUGGAGGUCACUGAAAGGCAUUUUGUUUACUCAUGAACAAGUCAUUGCCGCUUUCAUUUAACCAAAUAACACCUAACGGUGUCUUUCAACAUGGCCUACCCAAGGAGGACCUUCCUAAUGGAAGCUAACGUUUUAUCCGUAAGCAAACUCCAGCCACCACUAUGUGGCCCAGGGACAAGGACUAAAUAAGUCACAGCUAUAGCAUUUCAGAGGCUCAUGGACCGGAUGAAACAGACACAGAAAGUGCUGACAAGGACACAGUGAUGAAAGUGUGUACUAAUGGCUAGAACAUAAAUUACAGGACCGUUCUGCCUGGGAGGAGAAGGAUGGGAAAACCACAGAAGAGUCAUGGAAGACCUCAAUCCAGAAUGUAAACGCAGUGUUCAAAGUUGUUGGACAAGGGCAUUAUAGGCAGAGGGAAGGGCUUGUGCAGAAGGAUGAAAAUGAAUGUUUUUUCCAGCACAGAUUUCAGCAUAAGUGCAGUAACAUAACUGUUGGAUCUUCCUUUUUUUUUUUUUUUUUUUCACUGUUGGAUCUUCUAUCUGCACACCUGACCCUAUUUAAAAGUUGACAAAGAUGAGGGGCGCCUGGGUGGCUCAGUCAGUUAAGCAUCUGACUCUUGAUUUCGAACUCAGGCCCUGAUCGUAGGAUCCGGCUCUGUGCUCAGUGAGGAGUCUGCUUGAACUUCUCUCUCCCUCCCUCUGUCCCUUCCCCAGCCCUGUGUGCACACACACUCACUCUCUUGAAUAACUAAAUCUUUUAAAAAAUUGAUAA
Molecule: long non-coding RNA, 1231 nt
Organism: Canis lupus familiaris (dog)
Lineage: Eukaryota; Metazoa; Chordata; Mammalia; Carnivora; Canidae
Exons: 3
Source: RefSeq, a predicted model, not a curated record